This 22-nucleotide microRNA is filed under the name Strongyloides ratti. RNAcentral describes it as "str-miR-92-5p". Its record names the gene str-miR-92-5p. Lineage: Eukaryota; Metazoa; Nematoda; Chromadorea; Rhabditida; Strongyloididae. The record is from miRBase by way of RNAcentral.
AGGUUGGAGCAUGCGCCAUAUU